RNAcentral lists this long non-coding RNA (614 nucleotides) under Homo sapiens (human). Its description in RNAcentral is "non-protein coding lnc-DIO3-1:1". The record is from RNAcentral. Lineage: Eukaryota; Metazoa; Chordata; Mammalia; Primates; Hominidae.
GGAAACGGUCUCUGCAUAAAGAUACUCUGCUGCAUCAUUUAUAAAAAGAAAAAUUGAAAACAGCCUAAAAGCACAAUAGACGAUUCAAAUGAUCUAUGGUUCACAUACCUGUGAGGGUUUUAUAGAGAUGCUGAAACGCUGCUUAGAAGAGAGAAACACACAUGUCAACAACGUGAAGUGAAAAAAAAGAAACAAGAUUAAAAACUGUGUCUGCACGGGCUGUCCCCUUCUCCUCCAUUCCCGGAUAAGCCUUCACUCACCUCUGCACCUCACCAGCAUCCACUCAGAGAGACCCAGCCCCUCAAACCCAGCCAGCAGGGACCACGCUGCACAUUAAGUUUGCUCAACUGCUCCAGAGCGUGGCCUUGAGGAUGUUCCUUCACCUCUCUGAGCUUCAGGCUCCUCACCUGUACAAUGAAGACAGCACCUGCCUCAUGGAUUUGCUAAUAUAUGCAAAAUGCAUAGCUUGCUGCCUGGAAGAUAAUAAGUACCCAAAUGUUAGCUGUUUUUAUUUUUCGCUCAAUUUUCUACAUAUAAACAUGUCAUUGUGCUCCGUGCUGGGGAUAUGGCAGUGACAGCUAAACUCCAGAAGAGAAAGAUUAAACCAACACUCA